RNAcentral lists this ribosomal RNA (426 nucleotides) under uncultured Nitrosospira sp. RNAcentral describes it as "bacterial SSU rRNA". It matches the Rfam family "Bacterial small subunit ribosomal RNA", at positions 207 to 622 of the family's 1533-position model. The record is from RNAcentral. Lineage: Bacteria; Pseudomonadati; Pseudomonadota; Betaproteobacteria; Nitrosomonadales; Nitrosomonadaceae.
CAAGACCUUGCGCUCUUGGAGCGGCCGAUGUCUGAUUAGCUAGUUGGUGAGGUAAUGGCUUACCAAGGCGACGAUCAGUAGCUGGUCUGAGAGGACGACCAGCCACACUGGGACUGAGACACGGCCCAGACUCCUACGGGAGUGCAGCAGUGGGGAAUUUUGGACAAUGGGGGAAACCCUGAUCCAGCCAUGCCGCGUGAGUGAAGAAGGCCUUCGGGUUGUAAAGCUCUUUCAGCCGGAACGAAACGGUCACGGUUAAUACCCGUGACUACUGGCGGUACCGGAAGAAGAAUGCACCGGCUAACUACGUGCCAGCAGCCGCGGUAAUACGUAGGGUGCGAGCGUUAAUCGGAAUUACUGGGCGUAAAGCGUGCGCAGGCGGUUUUGUAAGUCAGAUGUGAAAUCCCCGGGCUUAACCUGGGAACU